GAAGGGAUAGCUCAGCGGUAGAGUAUUCGAUUGCAGAUUGAAUGGUGCCCGGUUCAAACCCGGGAAUCUUCUUCA
This is a non-coding RNA of Trichonephila inaurata madagascariensis, 75 nucleotides long. The record is from the annotation of a GenBank genome assembly. Lineage: Eukaryota; Metazoa; Arthropoda; Arachnida; Araneae; Nephilidae.